This 434-nucleotide ribosomal RNA is filed under the name uncultured Lachnospiraceae bacterium. RNAcentral describes it as "partial 16S ribosomal RNA". It matches the Rfam family "Bacterial small subunit ribosomal RNA", at positions 341 to 792 of the family's 1533-position model. Lineage: Bacteria; Bacillati; Bacillota; Clostridia; Lachnospirales; Lachnospiraceae. The record is from RNAcentral.
ACGGAAGGCAGCAGUGGGGAAUAUUGGACAAUGGGGGAAACCCUGAUCCAGCGACGCCGCGUGAGUGAAGAAGUAUUUCGGUAUGUAAAGCUCUAUCAGCAAGGAAGAAAAUGACGGUACUUGACUAAGAAGCUCCGGCUAAAUACGUGCCAGCAGCCGCGGUAAUACGUAUGGAGCAAGCGUUAUCCGGAUUUACUGGGUGUAAAGGGAGCGUAGACGGCGAAGCAAGUCUGAAGUGAAAUGCCGGGGCUUAACCCCGGAACUGCUUUGGAAACUGUUUUGCUAGAGUGCUGGAGAGGUAAGCGGAAUUCCUAGUGUAGCGGUGAAAUGCGUAGAUAUUAGGAGGAACACCAGUGGCGAAGGCGGCUUACUGGACUGUAACUGACGUUGAGGCUCGAAAGCGUGGGGAGCAAACAGGAUUAGAUACCCUGGUA